CCGCUUCCGCUAGGAGAGUAAAUGGCACCCUAGUUUCCGGUAAUUAGCAGAUUCGCCUAACGCUUCAGGAAAACAACUAUAAAAUAAAACGAAAAGGCAGCGUAAAGAGGCUUCGUAUUGUCGCCAGCGGCUCAGCGAGAAUAUCAGGGCGGCAUGCGAUUUUGUUAAAAAGAUGUCCUGGCAAGAUAUCCUCCUCCUCCAUCCCAGAUCAUCUAGCUGCAGUUAACAGGCAUCUUCAGCAGUCUGUCACUGAAUGAGGGAUGGGGAAAAGGACCAUACUCUGCAGCUCUAGCAUUAGGCACCAUUGUUUCCUUCUUCAUACAUACCGAGAGCCAGACUGGAAGUAAUCCAAGCAGCUUCAAUUUUGCCUGAAGUAGCAAAAGAGCUUUGACUGAAGCUGAAGAUAGGAGAAUCACCAUGGCAGCUACCGCUCAGGACACCCUGCCAUCCACCUGGGGCGCUUCCCUCUACAAACAGCCAUCCUUGGUGGCUUCAGCCUCUGCAAGCCUCGAGGAGGAAGGCAGCAGCAGCAGUGCGGGAUGCGAGGUGC
Molecule: long non-coding RNA, 550 nt
Organism: Dromaius novaehollandiae (emu)
Lineage: Eukaryota; Metazoa; Chordata; Aves; Casuariiformes; Dromaiidae
Exons: 6
Source: RefSeq, a predicted model, not a curated record